RNAcentral lists this unclassified non-coding RNA (5814 nucleotides) under Acyrthosiphon pisum (pea aphid). RNAcentral describes it as "protein grainyhead, transcript variant X7". The record is from RNAcentral. Lineage: Eukaryota; Metazoa; Arthropoda; Insecta; Hemiptera; Aphididae.
UGCGUGUGUACGUAUGCGCGCGCGCGAUUCCUAAAUAAGAAAUCCGACCAGUGCCAUACGGACGUAGAAUGCACCACACGUAUUCGGCCGCCGCUGCCUGUUGCUCCGUGGUUACCGUGUAAACAUAAUAAUAAAAGCCGAUAUUCUUUGUCGUCGUCGUAAAUAGGCGAAGAGUACGCGCACGUACAUAACGAUAUUCUAUUCUAUAUAUGUAUAUAAAUGUGAUAUUAUUAAUAUUAUACACGUAAACACAAUAUAUAAUAUGUUAUAAACCGUUUUUCGUUAGCAUUGUAUUGAUUUUACGUUUUCGCGGAGAUAAAUUGUUAAAAUAAAAUUUCUGUCGUUUUCCGAGUGCAUGUGUGUGUGCGAUUUUCGUCUGCGUGCCGAUCCGAUUUGCCCAAAAUAUAAAAACGGAUUAUACACGUCCGAGACCCGAGGCAAUAUGUGGAACGGAGCGGCCGAUCGUACAGGAAACAGAGACUCGAUGACUCAGUGAUAGUUUCCGCAAAACAGCGGAAGAAACCGUCGUCAACGGCUUACCGACACGGCAGAACCUGAGCAGUACUUAGCUGUCUUAGCGACGGUGGUGUCACCGUGUACACACACCACAUAACUGAGGGGAUAGCCACAUGUCAUCCGCGGUGGACGGACAGCAACAACAACAGCCGCUGGCUGGUGGUUCGCCGCCUAUGGCAGUGGUGUUGACGCAGCACUGCUGCAAAGAAGAAUCAUCGCCGGGCGUAUCGCCACCGCACCCACAGACCGCCAUGUCGCCGACGACCGUCCAAGACAUGCCGCCCGAGAGCACGUCACCCGUGAUGUUGGCCACCAUGCAACCAGUGAGCGUGGACGAGUUCCAAGCAUCCGAUUACCACCAUCAAAACCACCAUCAGCAGCAGCAGCACCACCACCACCAACAGCAGCAUCAGCAACAUCAACAACAACACCAUCACCAGCAGCAGCCGGACGAUCCACUGGACCAGAAGACUGUCAUUUACAUACCGGGCACCGAUCCGCAGCAGACCAUCAUCUACGAUCCGCAGAACCCCGAAGGGUCGUUGCCGCCGGGUAUCACGAUCCAGCAAGAUCCGGCCAACGGUUCAGCAGUGUCCGUGUUGGUCCAAGGGCAAGCCGGACACCAUCAGUACCUGGGAGCGUCGGGUACCACCGUGUUGGUCAUGCAGGAACUGGUCGACGACAUGGGUCACAUAUUACACAGGAGACGGCGGGGUAGCUGCAGCGAGGACGACGAAGUCACCGGCGCCGUUGUCGACGGCGACGGACAGCAUCACCACCGCCGGCGACACAAUCAUCACCGCGACGACGGCAUGGCCGAUUCGGACACGAACGGUGGUGGUGGCGCCGGGGGAGGAGGAGGCGGUGGCGGGGGUGGUGGCGUGGCCGAACAACCCGCCGAGCCGGGUGGCUGGAGGCAAUCGUACUACGAACACCCGCUGACCGCCGCCACGUCAGCCAUGCUCAACAUUUCGGGCGGCGCUUCCGGAGACGAACAGGGCCAGCAGUCGGGCCAGGGACAGGGCCAGGGCGGUGCACCACUCAGUUUCGUCUACGAGUAUUACAAGCUGCCGCACCUGUCCGACUCCGUCAAGGACAAACAUCUUGCCGACAUAUGGCCAACGACAUCUUCGCCGAAUGGUUCGCUGUUACCAUCACAGUUGAAACCGUCCAACGGACUUAUCGGCACGGGUCCAGGAGGACUAGAAAUCGGCGCCGGACACCUGGGCGAUUUGCAGGGACUUUUCUUGCACCAGCAACCGCUUAAGCGGGAGCCCGAGGACCUGAGCCAUCACCGCGGUGGCGGACCACCAAACAAGGGUAACAACAAUGCGGACGGUCUGAAAACGAUCGGAGGACGUCCAAAAGUGGUGUUGGUCGCGCCCGGUAACAACGGCAAUCAGCAGGACCAACAGCAACAGCAACUGGUCGUGGACGUCGUAAACAACAAUAACAAUCAACAAGCGAACAAUAACAACGCGGUGGGCGGCGUGAAAGAAGAGUACGGCGGUGGACACCAUUCACCGCAGCACAACAGUCGGUCGAUAAACGGAACGCCGUCGUCCACGUCAUCCCUCAUCACUGAGAUGAACCCGCCGCCGCCGGCCAUAGAGUUAAUAGCCACGCCGGAUGGCUUGAAGCCCAUGUACGGCACUCACAUAUUCACCACCAUGACCGGACAGCACGCUGACAGUGGUACGCCGUCUCCCAACUCGUACGAGCACCAGCAGUACACCACGUCAUCUGUGCUGUCUGGCGGCGGUGGUGCUGGCAACCCAGGUGGCUACAUCACCACGUCUGGUGGCCGGACCCCGUUCGCCGACCCAUACACUUACCGCGAGUACUUUGGCGGUGCUAGCGGAGGCCCCGAACCGGGUCCGUACGGCUCUCAGAUCGGCGCUGGCGGCGGUGGCCGGCAGACCGCGUCUUCCUACGGCGGCGAUGCCUCCGACCCUGGCGCCGUGUCCAACGCCGCGGCCACCGCAUCGUUUGUUGAACGGUACGUCCGACAAAGCUCGUACCACAACAAGGGCGUCAUCGCAGCAGCCGGACUCACCGUCGACCUGCCGUCGCCCGAUAGUGGCAUCGGCGCAGACGCCAUCACACCACGUGACCAAAACGCCAUCCAACAGUCUUUCGAUUACAAUGAGAUGUGCCAAACACCUAGCAUGUUGGGCGAACACCAAGCACAGCGGACGCCCACCGGAGGACGGUCGAGACCGUGGCACGACUUUGGCAGGCAAAACGAUGCGGACAAGAUACAAAUACCAAAAGUAUUCUCCAACUAUGGGUUCCGCUAUUAUUUGGAAUCCCCGAUCUCUACCAACCAGAGGCGUGAAGACGACCGGGUGACGUACAUCAACAAAGGCCAGUUUUAUGGCAUUACUAUGGAGUACAUACCAGACCCGGAUAAACCAUUGACCAGUCAAACAGUCAAGAGCGUAGUCAUGCUGAUGUUUAGAGAGGAGAAAAGUCCAGAUGACGAAAUCAAAGCGUGGCAAUUUUGGCACGGCAGACAGCACAGCGUCAAACAACGGAUACUCGACGCCGACACGAAAAACAGUGCCGGCCUGGUGGGAUGCAUCGAAGAAGUAUCACACAACGCCAUCGCCAUUUAUUGGAACCCUCUGGAGAGUCCGGCAAAGAUCAACGUCGCCGUGCAAUGUCUGAGUACGGAUUUCAGCAGCCAAAAAGGCGUAAAGGGUUUGCCGCUGCACCUGCAAAUCGACACCUACGAAGAACCGAGAGACGGACCUGUGUACCACAGGGGAUAUUGUCAAAUCAAAGUUUUCUGUGAUAAGGGAGCCGAAAGGAAGACCAGAGACGAAGAGCGGAGGGCGGCCAAACGGAAAAUGACUGCCACGGGUCGCAAGAAGAUCGACGAACUCUAUCAUCCACCGUGCGAGCGAUCCGAAUUCUAUUCGAUGAGUGACCUCAACAAACCGCCAGUGCUGUUCUCACCCGCCGAGGACAUCGACAAGCUGACAUCGAUGGAACUCCAGGGAUUCUACGGGCACGACACAGACACGUCCAGUCUGUCGAACGGUGAACCCGGUUCAAUGAAGCAUUCGUCGCCUUUCCUACUGCACUCUGGCGUGGCCAACAAGCCAGCUGGCACGACGACCACGCAGACGCUCAAGUUCCACAAUCACUUCCCACCGGAUACGCACAACGUGUCUUAUUACAACAGCGAGAAGAAAGAAGUGCUGGACCAGAGUGGACUGACCACGGACGGUACGGUGUUCUCGAGUCCGCCCAACAAGCGAACGAAGCUACAGGUGCCGCCCAUCAACGAGCGAGUGAUGUUGUACGUGCGGCAAGAGGCCGAGGACGUGUACACGCCCCUGCACGUCAUACCGCCGACGACCCAGGGACUAUUGAAUGCUGUAAGCUCAGACUUCAUUUAUUAUUGAAGUACUUAUUGACAAACAACAUGGCUUAUUCUCGGAUAUUUUCACCUUCUCUCUGGAUUACGGCCAAAAUUGAUAAUGAUAUGCUGAAAUAUUAUUGUAAUGAAGAUUCAUUUCUAUUGGAAGUCAGACACGCUGAAGAAAAUGAGAACAUGCUUGAUGUUAUACUGAUUGAAAUUAUGGAUCGUUAAUGGUCCAAUCAAAUUGUUUUUAAAAUGAAAAAAAAACUUAAAAAUUCCUAUCAAUUUACCAAGCUAUGCUCAUUUCUUUACUCAACAACAUAUUUUGUUUAAGAAAUAUGUGAAAUUAUUCAAGUCGAUAUGUUAAUAUUAUAUAGUUUUAAAAUAGUGAUUAGAUCUUAAUAGGACAGUGUACAUAAUUAUAAUAUUAUAGACUAUGUUAACUUUUAAUUUCCAUAUGAACAUCCGUGACGUUCUAUUUAUUGUACUUAAGUGUUAGAUUGAUGACACUAUUAAACGACAAAAGUUCUAAAAUUUGUGCACGCCUUAUGCUCAGUCAAUUUAAUUUUAAGUUGUUUAAUGAAACAGUAUUUUAGAGAUUUAUGUAAUUGGUCUAAUAAAUUAAGAUUAUAAUACAUAGGUAAAUACUUUUAUUUGUAUAAAUAUAUUUUUAUUAAGUAGUGAUUACUAUUUUGCAAGCAUCAAAAUUGAAUUUAAUGUGAUACAAGAGAAUGGUUAUAAACUUAUUUAACUUUUGAAUUGUAUUAUAGCAUUAUAUAUUUAUAUUUGAUCAAUUAUGAUUUACAAAUUUUGACUGUAAAGUAUUCAAGACAAACUCUUUUGCUCAAUUUUUAUUUGAGUAACAAUUUAGUAUUAAAUCAUCAUGACAAUACAUUUUAUCAAUAUUGUUUAAUCGUUUAUAUUUUUGCUCAUCAAACGUUGUCAAUGGUAUAUCUUUUUGUUUUGUUUUUUUUUUUUUUUUUAUCGAGGGACGAGGAUACUAUUAUUAUUAUAAGUAAACGUAGAUCAAAACAUAUUUGCCAUGUUACUUCGAAAUUUAUAUUUUCAAAACGUUUUUUUGUACUUAUCUUUUUUUUUGUAAAUACAUUUAUUUUUAAUUAUUACGAAAUAAAAUAUAUUAAUGUAGAGUUAAUUAGUUUUAUGUACUUAAAAGUAUUAUGUUUUGUUUUUUAUUUAUCUAUUGUAAUUAUAAGUUCAAGUUAAUUCGUGUUAUAUUUUAAUUUUACCCAAAUUUAUAUCAAAUAAUUAUGUUAAAUGUAAAUAAUAUAAAAUGUAACGUAAAACAUUCCAGUUAACUUUGAAUUGUUGCUCUAUUUAUUAGUAAAACGAUAUAUUUCUUGCCAUUUAUGUUUAAUUUUAUUAUUUUCAAUCAAUACAAAAUGUAUCUAUCUUGAGAUCUGUUAAGUAAUAAUGUAAAGUGGUCUAAACAUCUAAAAUUGCCAAAAUUAGUAUCAUUUAUAGUAACUUUGAUCUCAUGUUGCUGGUUGUUCAAUAUAAGACGUUUUUUUUUAUCAAAAUUAAUUUUUUAAAGUAUUAAAGUAUUUAGUAAGUAUUGAAUUAAAUUAAGGCUAAACCCAGCACGCAUGACAAUUUUUUGUGCAAUUUUUAAGCUACAAACAUUUUCAUUAACCAAUAAAAAUUAUUAAUAAAUGUAGCCCAGAUAGAGUGCCAUUUUUAUUUAUUUUUUUAUACCGAAUGAUUAUAUGACUUUGAAAGACACAUAUGUUGCCACUUAUUAAACCCACACAGUUUAUUAUUGUAAUAAUCAUACUAUUUAUUUUUAUUUUUAUUUUUUUUUGUCAAUACUGCCAAUACUAAAUAGUAAUUGAAUAACAUGUUUAUUAUUGUCUAAUGUCUUAACCAUAUGAUUGUCAGAAAUAUAUAUAUAAUAUAUGUUUAUAUAUAUA